Molecule: transfer RNA, 73 nt
Filed under: Actinomycetota bacterium
Lineage: Bacteria; Bacillati; Actinomycetota
Description: tRNA-Thr
Rfam family: tRNA
About the family: Transfer RNA (tRNA) molecules are approximately 80 nucleotides in length.
Source: RNAcentral
GCCGGUGAGGUCCUGAAGGUAGGACGCUCGGCCCGUACCCGAGAGGCAGCGGGUUCGAUCCCCGCCGCCGGCC